RNAcentral lists this transfer RNA (76 nucleotides) under Plantimonas leprariae. Its description in RNAcentral is "Aureimonas sp. YIM 132180 tRNA-Arg". It matches the Rfam family "tRNA". Rfam says of the family: Transfer RNA (tRNA) molecules are approximately 80 nucleotides in length. Their secondary structure includes four short double-helical elements and three loops (D, anti-codon, and T loops). Further hydrogen bonds mediate the characteristic L-shaped molecular structure. tRNAs have two regions of fundamental functional importance: the anti-codon, which is responsible for specific mRNA codon recognition, and the 3' end, to which the tRNAs corresponding amino acid is attached (by aminoacyl-tRNA synthetases). tRNAs cope with the degeneracy of the genetic code in two manners: having more than one tRNA (with a specific anti-codon) for a particular amino acid; and 'wobble' base-pairing, i.e. permitting non-standard base-pairing at the 3rd anti-codon position. The record is from RNAcentral. Lineage: Bacteria; Pseudomonadati; Pseudomonadota; Alphaproteobacteria; Hyphomicrobiales; Aurantimonadaceae.
GGCCCCGUAGCUCAGCGGAUGGAGCACCGGCCUUCUAAGCCGACGGUCGCAGGUUCGAGUCCUGCCGGGGCCACCA